CUCACAUCCCUCUUCCUCUCUAGCCAGUAAAACAAUGGUUGUUUUUCAUGGUUUCUGACUCUGAAUGGGUCCUCCCAUUCUGUCUUCACCCUCCCAGCCCCUCCUCUACAGAGAACACGUGCACUCCUGGGAGGCAUUUACCAGGAUAGGCUCUGACACCACACCACAUUGUGUGUGGGACCACAUCUCCAUCCAGCCUGCAGCUCUGCCAGGCUGCUUCUUCCUGUGUGGCAUACCUCAGAAACCCGACUUCCAAAUCACAGAGUGGGACUAGAGCAGGUGUUGGGGUCGAUUCCAUGUUAAAACAUGUUAAACCCCUAGGGACUGCCUGGGCCUACUUAGCCAUAGUGACUCCAUGUUGCCUAGGUAGACAUUUUGUUGUUUAAUAAAUGCCUCAACAGUUAUUGAUAUCAGUUCCAAGUAACGGUUGCUAAAACACACACCUAAAACAAGUCCAUUUUUUUAUAUCAGUUCUAGGUAACUAUUACUAAAACACAUACCUAAAACAAGGCCAUUUUUUUGUUUAAUAAAUGCCUCAGCAGUUACUAGUAUCGGUUCCAGGUAACUGUUACUAAAACACACAGGUAGGAGACAUCCAAACAGCCAAAGCCACAUAUGUAGAUGUCUGCGAUUGUGCCCUAUAAAAACUAGCCUGUAAGACCAAGGGGCAUCGCUCUCUUUGGAGGUGGCCCUGGCCGAUCAGUCUGACUUCUAAUGCUUGGCAUAGAAUAAAGCUUUACAUAACUCUCACUUUGUCUCAGCCUCGUUUCCCUGGCGGGUCAGUCUAACUUCUAAUGCUUAGCAUAGAAUAAAGCUUCGCGUAACUUUGUCUCAGUCUCGUUCCUUUGAUAACGGAUCCAACAUAUGGGGGCUCGUCCAGGAUCAAACAGCGAGAACUGAGCCAGCAUCAGAAUUUCUGGGAAAAGCCUCCAGAGAGAAACUCAAGAUAAAUUUGGGUCUGUUGCAGCACCUGGGUGGCUCAGUGGGUUAAAGCCUCUGCCUUCGGCUCAGGUCAUGAUCCCAGGGUCAUGGAAUCGAGCCCCGCAUCGGGCUCCCUGCUCAAGUGGGGAACCUGCUUCCCCUUCUCUCUCUGCCUGCCUCUCUGUCUAUUUGUGAUCUCUGUCAAAUAAAUAAAUAACAUCUUUAAAAAAAAA
Long non-coding RNA from Mustela lutreola (European mink), 1154 nucleotides. RefSeq lists it as uncharacterized. The transcript is spliced from 2 exons. Lineage: Eukaryota; Metazoa; Chordata; Mammalia; Carnivora; Mustelidae. The record is from RefSeq and is a predicted model, not a curated record.